RNAcentral lists this ribosomal RNA (409 nucleotides) under uncultured bacterium. RNAcentral's name for it is "bacterial SSU rRNA". It matches the Rfam family "Bacterial small subunit ribosomal RNA", at positions 28 to 485 of the family's 1533-position model. The record is from RNAcentral.
AACGAACGCUGGCGGCAUGCCUAACACAUGCAAGUCGAGCGCCCGUAGCAAUACGGGAGCGGCGCACGGGUGAGUAACGCGUGGGAACCUGCCCAGAGGUCUGGGACAACCGCGGGAAACUGCGGCUGAUACCGGAUGAUUCCUGAGGGACAAAGAUUUAUCGCCUUUGGAGGGGCCCGCGUCGGAUUAGGUAGUUGGUGGGGUAACGGCUCACCAAGCCUAUGAUCCGUAACUGGUCUGAGAGGAUGACCAGUCACACUGGGACUGAGACACGGCCCAGACUCCUACGGGAGGCAGCAGUGGGGAGUAUUGGACAAUGGGGGCAACCCUGAUCCAGCAAUGCCGCGUGGGUGAUGAAGGCCUCGGUUGUAAGACCUUCGCGGGACGGAGUGAUGACGGUACCCGGCCA